UGGGGAAUCUUCCGCAAUGGACGAAAGUCUGACGGAGCAACGCCGCGUGAGUGAAGAAGGUUUUCGGAUCGUAAAACUCUGUCUUUUGGGGCGAACGUGAGUAUGGUGAACAAUCAUAGUCAGUGACGGUACCAAAGGAGGAAGCCACGGCUAACUACGUGCCAGCAGCCGCGGUAAUACGUAGGUGGCAAGCGUUGUCCGGAAUUAUUGGGCGUAAAGAGCGCGUAGGCGGGAUAGUCAGUCUGUUGUAAAGUGCGGGCUCAACCCCGUGAUGGCAAUGGAAACAGCUAUUCUUGAGUGCAGGAGAGGAAAGUGGAAUUCCCAGUGUAGCGGUGAAAUGCGUAGAUAUUGGGAGGAACACCAGUGGCGAAGGCGACUUUCUGGACUGUGUCUGACGCUGAGGCGCGAAAGCCAGGGGAGCGAACGGGAUUAGAUACCCCGGUAGUCCUGGCCGUAAACGAUGGGUACUAGGUGUGGGGGGUAUCGACCCCUUCCGUGCCGGAGUUAACGCAAUAAGUACCCCGCCUGGGGAGUACGGUCGCAAGACUGAAACUCAAAUGAAUUGACGGGGUCAUAGCUGUUUCCUG
RNAcentral lists this ribosomal RNA (587 nucleotides) under uncultured bacterium. Its description in RNAcentral is "partial 16S ribosomal RNA". It matches the Rfam family "Bacterial small subunit ribosomal RNA", at positions 355 to 1376 of the family's 1533-position model. The record is from RNAcentral.